CGGUGAAUACGUUCCCGGACCUUGCACACACCGCCCGUCAAGCCAUGGAAGCCGGGUGUACCUAAAGUCGGUAACCGUAAGGAGCCGCCUAGGGCAAAACUGGUGACUGGGGCU
Molecule: ribosomal RNA, 114 nt
Filed under: uncultured bacterium
Lineage: Bacteria
Description: partial 16S ribosomal RNA
Rfam family: Bacterial small subunit ribosomal RNA
Source: RNAcentral